CACAUUCGGAGGCGCUUCGGCGCUCCUUAUACACCCCACCCUCUGCCCUACGUGUACCCUCUAUAGCUUCCUCGGCGGGCUCGCCCGCCGCCAGGAACCCACGAAACCCCUUGCAUUAUACGCGAAAACUUCUGAUAACAAACCUAAAUUAUCA
Molecule: unclassified non-coding RNA, 154 nt
Filed under: soil metagenome
Description: partial internal transcribed spacer 1
Source: RNAcentral